UCGCGGCUUAUCACCGGCAGUCUCCCUAGAGUUCCCGGCAUUACCCGCUGGCAACUAAGGACAGGGGUUGCGCUCGUUGCGCCACUUAAGGCAACAUCUCACGACACGAGCUGACGACAGCCAUGCAGCACCUGUGUUACGGCUCCCUUUCGGGCACACCCAGCUCUCGCUGGGCUUCCGUACAUGUCAAGGGUAGGUAAGGUUAUUCGCGUUGCAUCGAAUUAAUCCACAUCAUCCACCGCUUGUGCGGGUCCCCGUCAAUUCCUUUGAGUUUUAAUCUUGCGACCGUACUCCCCAGGCGGGGUACUUCCUGCGUUAGCGCCGGCACCCAGAGGGUCGCUCCCCCAGGCACCUAGUACCCAUCGUUUACGGCGUGGACUAC
Molecule: unclassified non-coding RNA, 382 nt
Filed under: uncultured bacterium
Lineage: Bacteria
Description: contains 16S-23S intergenic spacer region
Source: RNAcentral